RNAcentral lists this ribosomal RNA (407 nucleotides) under uncultured bacterium. RNAcentral describes it as "partial 16S ribosomal RNA". It matches the Rfam family "Bacterial small subunit ribosomal RNA", at positions 30 to 526 of the family's 1533-position model. The record is from RNAcentral.
AUUGAACGCUGGCGGCAGGCCUAACACAUGCAAGUCGAACGGAGUGGCGAACGGAUGAGUAAUGUAUCGGAACGUGCCCAGUAGCGGGGGAUAACUACGCGAAAGCGUAGCUAAUACCGCAUACUAUUGGAGUGGCCGAUAUCGGAUUAGCUAGAUGGUGGGGUAAGGGCUCACCAAGGCGACGGUCCGUAGCUGGUUUGAGAGGACGACCAGCCACACUGGGACGGAGACACGGUCCAGACUCCUACGGGAGGCAGCAGUGGGGAAUAUUGGACAAUGGGCGAAAGCCUGAUCCAGCCAUCCCGCGUGUGCGAUGAAGGCCUUCGGGUUGUAAAGCACUUUUGGCAGGAAAGCGGUACCUGCAGAAUAAGCACCGGCUAACUACGUGCCAGCCGCCGCGGUAAUUC